AACGAACGCUGGCGGCGUGGAUAAGACAUGCAAGUCGAACGCUGAUUUCAGGGUAGCAAUAUUCUGAAGUUGGAGUGGCGCAAGGGUGCGUAACACGUGGGUAAUUUGCCAUGAAGCCCGGAAUAACUCGCUGAAAGGCGAGCUAAUACCGGAUGUGAUGUUCGGGAGGCAUCUCCUGAACCUUAAAGCUGGGGACCGCAAGGCCUGGCACUUCUUGAUAAGCCCGCGGCCUAUCAGCUAGUUGGUGAGGUAACGGCUCACCAAGGCUAAGACGGGUAGCUGGUCUGAGAGGACGACCAGUCACACUGGAACUGAGACACGGUCCAGACACCUACGGGUGG
This 341-nucleotide ribosomal RNA is filed under the name uncultured bacterium. RNAcentral describes it as "bacterial SSU rRNA". It matches the Rfam family "Bacterial small subunit ribosomal RNA", at positions 29 to 348 of the family's 1533-position model. The record is from RNAcentral.